GACUAACAUGUCUAUAUUUGAAGUGUAUAAAGCCUUGUCCGGGAGGGUUUGUUAUUGAUAGAUAUGGUUGUCGAACUUGCAUUUGCAAAAGUAAGUGAAUAUUCUAAUCUAUACAUGCAGCUGCAUGAGCGACUGCGUGAGGGACUGCAUGAGCGACUCUAUAACAAACAUACUUGCAACGAGGAGGUGCGUUCAAUCUCGAACCCACCUGCUGACGUAUGUUUAGGAGGUGGGUUCGAGAUCGAUGUUUCAGCGGCGGCCAUUAUGAAGCGAUUCGGAACAAAUUUCAGACGAAGAUUUAAAUAAAAAAUAAAUUAACUGUUUUGAAUUGUUUUAUAAUUAUUAUAUUUUUUAUUUUGUUUGAUGAAAAUGGAAUAUUCUGUAUUCAAAGUGGAUGAAAAGAAAGAUGGCCGCCGAAAUUUGUUCGGCACGGGCAGAUUUAUAUAAAUCGUGGCAUUGUUUUCGCAGAAUGUGUUCAUUUUCUCUUUUCAAAAAUAAGGGAAUAUUGUAGAGAAUUUUUUUAGCUUUAAUUUAAGCCUAAGUUUGUUUGUUUGUUUGCAUGUGUACUAUGUUGGCGGCUAAAAUGUUCGUUAUUCAAACACGAAAUUAUAUACCAAAAAGUAAAAUGCGUAUAAAAUUCUUCAGUACUUUUUAGUAUUUUACCGAAAUGGCAUGUGAUAGAAACCAAACAUACUUGCAAGUUCGGUGAGUCCUUGAUUGGACGCACCUCGGGAAACUUCCAGCCACGCCAAUAGGUGAAAGCCGCUAAUACGCUAGGUAUGAGAUAAAUGGCACAUGCGUGAGCGACUGCAUAUACUUCCAACAGGAGUCGAGUGGUUGUAUAUCAUCGUAUGCAACAUGAUCGUGAAUUACGUACAUAUAUAUAGCUUGUGAUUCGCGAAAGCAAACUACACGUUUAUGUAAAUCAGGAGGAUUUUGUAUAUUAUUGAACAUUCAAUUAUAUGUACUAGUUAAAAUAUGAGCUGCUGAUCUUUCCGGGCAUUUACAAUGGAGAGCGCGCAGCGAGAGCCAUUGUUAAAUGCCUAUAAAGAUCAGUUGCGAAGUCAUUAUGAUUUGUGAGUCUAUGCUAUCCAUGAGUCAGGAUGGAUUAUUACGAUAAAUGUUGUUAUCAAAAUAUCGAUCACAGAUAUUUGAUUAAUAUAUAUACGAUUUCAAAUACUUCCAGUUUUAAUUUGAAUUUUUUUUUUUUUGGGGGGGAAGGCGAAAGCCAUUCCGCCCCCUCCCUUAUAAAAUUUUUGGGUUAGGGUUCCUUGCCCCCCCCCCCUCCCCCCUGCUUCCUACGCUAGUGCAUGCGGUCACUAACUUGUUUAUCCGAGCCUUCCAACAACUCAAAUCUAUAGGGUCUGGGAUAUGCAAUCCACUGGAAAAUGUUUAAAAUCUAAGGUAUUUACAACACAAUGUUUAGCAUUUUUAAAAAGACAUUGAAUUUAAGGAUAAAAGACAGGACAUAAGAUUCACACAAAAUACACCAGGUUAAGUGUAGAUUUACACUGUUCAAGUGGCAUAUUUAACAUCGAAUAAGUGUAUAUUUACACUAUCACAAAGUGUAACAUAACACGGCGUUAUGUUACACUUUGCGAUAGUGUAAAUAUACUUUACGCGCGCCCAAAUGCGGUAAUAUUAUACAUGCACCUUUUUAAUGUAAAUUUACAAGUCUAAAAAUAUGAUGUUUGGUUACUUUACACCAAAAAAGUGUUACCGGAACGCUACAACGUACUACAAUCUUGGACAUAACUGGUUGAGACUAUUUUCCCCCCUACACAAAAUUCGCAUAUUCUUAUGAUAAAUUCCAUGUUGAAUCAUGUUGCCCUUCUCCCCCGCUCCCCCAACUCAAUGUUGAGCUUGUGUCAUGGUACUACCAAUGUUUACAACAUUGAACUGGGGGGGGGGAGGGAGGGGAGGGGGAGACAAAGUUUGUUUUGUCAAUGUUCAAUAACUUUGUAACAUUGCAGUGGCGUAAAUCUUCAGUUAUGGGCCCCCGGUUGAAGUAGUUUGGAGGGCCCCUUAAUUAUACAUCUUCCCCGAAUUUUUUUACAAUGCUAACCCUACGCAUUGAAUUUUGGACGACCAUGAGGAACACGAGGUCCAAAUAUUGCACCAAAUUCUGCAACAAAAUUUGCGAGAGUAUAUUAUAGCUACUGAAUAUAACUAUUACUACAUCAAUUAUAACCCUGUAAACACAGUAAAAACCCCAGCUCCAUUUUCUAUUGAUUAUAAGCAACAGCAACAGCAACAACAACAUAUAGUUCAUGGGGGUGAGAGGUCUUCCCCAGAAAAUUUUGUAAUCUAUAACACGAUAACCUUAAUUCGUGCAUGCAUAUAAGAAAUUUUUGUUAAAAUUUUUGUUAAAAUUUCAACACGGAAGAAUUUGCUGAAUUUUACAAAAAAAAACAUGAUAUUUUUAAAAAUGUGUGUGGCUUCUAUUUAUUUCGGCUUCCAAGAUUAAACAAAACUACAAUUCUAAUUGUGUCCCACCCUAAAAGUUAUCUUUUGAAAAAUAAGGCCUCCUGCUCUCUUCCUCUGUUAAUAAUGAACGGUCCCUUGAAGCAUUGCCCUCUGGGAUAUGUUACUAACAAAUAUUGGGGUAAUCGUUCCAUGUUUCGCGCACCAAUAUAGUAAACGUUACGUAAUGGAUAUAAUAGUGUACUGAAAAGCUAACUGAAUACACAUAUAUAGGCUACACACCCUAACCCUAACCCUAACCUUAAUUAAACCUAACCCCAACCCUAACCCUAACCACUAUGACCUCUAACUACUAACCCCUAACCCUAACUUUUUAAACUUUUUUAACUUUUUUGAAAAUUUAACAUUUUAAACUUUUUUUGCUUUUUAAAACUCUUUUAAAACAUUUUUAAAACUUUUUUAAACCAUGUUUUUGAAAAUCCUGAAAAUCUUUACGCCUUGUGCCAACCUUUUAAAGGAAAAAAGCAACAUAUCUGAUCUAUCUGUAUGAUAUCGAGCACUCUUUAGCAUUUCGUGAACCAAAACACACUCGUUUGGUUCAAGUAUAUUACAUGCAGAUAACACUUUUACGCACUUUGAAAUCGGCUAUUCACGAAUCCAUAUAGAUAUUGGACUCAUUAUAUUUCAACUGACCGAUGCAGCAUUGAAAAUAGGAUAUUUAAUUUAACAAUUAUUCGCCGAAGGCGAAGUGAUUACCGGGGAAUAUUCGCCGAGACGGAGUCGAGGUGAAUAUUCCCCGUUAAUCACCGAGCCUGAGGCGAAUAAUUGUUUUAGUAUUUUUACACAAGUCUUUUGUGUUUUGGGGACUGAAUUUAUUUUAAUUUCGCUUAUUUCUUUAUCAGUAACCUCCACAAAACGGCUAUAGCCGCCAUUUUGAAAAUUUCGGUUUUGUUAUAUUCACCUGUAGGUGAAUAUAACAGCUUAAUACGUCAAAUUUGACCAAUCAAUGUGUAGGAUUUGUAAUGUUCACUUGUGCAAAAAUACUAAGAAUUAAUAGCUGUUUCCUUAACUUAAAAAUAUACUCAUGAAUAUACUUAAUAUACCUCUAUAUAUUGCUGAUUAGUGAUUUUUAUACAUCCGUGUCAAUUUUUUUGGCAGCAAUUUGCCCACUCCUCAAAUGUAAAGCAUGUCGCCCAGGAUUUGGUUAUGUCAACGAUGCAAAAGGAUGUCAAACCUGCAAAUGUGCACGUAAGUUAAAUAAAUCCGCAAAGAGCAGUUCCUUUAAAGAUGUCAUCAUUACGAAUCCUUGUUUACCGAUGUUUGCAAAAUUAAGUCACGUUGUUUUUCAGGUUGCAGGUUUCAAUCCGUACGCCCAGUGGCGUUGAACGCUCAUUGGGUAGGGUUAGUUCAAAAACUAAGGGCCCCCGAC
Molecule: non-coding RNA, 3853 nt
Organism: Paramuricea clavata
Lineage: Eukaryota; Metazoa; Cnidaria; Anthozoa; Malacalcyonacea; Plexauridae
Source: the annotation of a GenBank genome assembly